This 224-nucleotide long non-coding RNA is filed under the name Oreochromis niloticus (Nile tilapia). Its description in RNAcentral is "lncRNA (ENSONIG00000030081.1)". The record is from RNAcentral. Lineage: Eukaryota; Metazoa; Chordata; Actinopteri; Cichliformes; Cichlidae.
UGCCUUAGUAAAGAAGUGGUAUCAGACUGGUUUGUAGUGGAGGAAUUUUUUUUGCCAGUUUCUUUCAUCUUUAAUCCGUAUUCAUGUUGUAAUGUAGUAACUUUUGUGGCACAAAUACCACAAUAUGGCAGAAAUACCAUGUUUUGGCACAAAUACUUUGAUUUGGUAUACUUUAGCUUCUUCACCCCUUUUCAGCAAAAUGUUCAUUUUUUUCACCCCUUUUC